RNAcentral lists this ribosomal RNA (262 nucleotides) under uncultured prokaryote. RNAcentral's name for it is "partial 16S ribosomal RNA". It matches the Rfam family "Bacterial small subunit ribosomal RNA", at positions 917 to 1178 of the family's 1533-position model. The record is from RNAcentral.
GGACCCGCACAAGCGGUGGAGCAUGUGGUUUAAUUCGAAGCAACGCGAAGAACCUUACCAAAUCUUGACAUCCUUUGACCGCUCUAGAGAUAGAGUCUUCCCCUUUGGGGGACAAAGUGACAGGUGGUGCAUGGUUGUCGUCAGCUCGUGUCGUGAGAUGUUGGGUUAAGUCCCGCAACGAGCGCAACCCUUAAGCUUAGUUGCCAUCAUUAAGUUGGGCACUCUAGGUUGACUGCCGGUGACAAACCGGAGGAAGGUGGGG